CCCGGUCUUGCUUCUUAUGGAAAAAAUUCGAACCCCUCAGAUUGUGUAUAUUAUUUUCUUUUUCUACUUAAUCAAUAUAUGUUAUUAAUAAAGUUGGGAAUGGAAAUGGGGAAUGUGUCAAAGAGACAACAACCCGACCAUAGAAAAAAACAACAGCAAAAGGUCACCAACAGGUCUUCAAUGUAGCGAGAAAUUCCCGCACCCGUAGGCGUCUUUCCGCUUGCGCUUUAAACAAAUAUAUACUAGUUCAGUGAUAAGGAACGCCAUACUAAACUCCAAAUGAUACACAAGAAACUAAAAUUAAAAUAAUACAAGACUAACAAAAUCCAGAGGCUCCUGAUUUCGGACAGGUGCAAAUAUGCGGCGGGUUUAAACAUGUUUAUCAGAUCUCAACCCUCCCCCUAUACCUCUAGCCACUGUAUAAAAGUAAACGUAUAACAAAAGGCACAUUAAAAUUCAGUUCAAGAGAAUUCUGAGUCUGAUGUCAGAAGAUGUAACCAAAGAAAAAAAACAAAAUGACAAUAAUA
Molecule: long non-coding RNA, 527 nt
Filed under: Mytilus galloprovincialis (Mediterranean mussel)
Lineage: Eukaryota; Metazoa; Mollusca; Bivalvia; Mytilida; Mytilidae
Source: RNAcentral